This 2361-nucleotide long non-coding RNA is filed under the name Malus domestica (apple). Its description in RNAcentral is "long non-coding RNA (MDOM_LNC009319)". The record is from RNAcentral. Lineage: Eukaryota; Viridiplantae; Streptophyta; Magnoliopsida; Rosales; Rosaceae.
GGGAUAGUUUUGGACCUUAAGGCCCAAUGGGCUUCGAACGUCAAGCCCAUAGACUUAAGUUGUAUGACAAUUUAAUGAAUAAAAAUUCACAAAGGCCCAAAAGCCCAAAUCCCUUAUGUGGCCGGCCAUGUGUGUUGAAUUAGGGUUUUUGGUUCUUAAGUCAUUUAAAGAAGUGACUAUAUAAAGAACUUUAUAGCCUAAAAUUCAUUAAGGGUUCUUUUUGGAGAAAAUUGGAGAGAACAUGUCUCUCCUUUUCUCUCUAGGAGGCCGGCCCCCCUUGGAGGGUGUAUCUAGCAAUCCUACCACUCCAAGGUCACUCAUUUCUUCUCCAAUCUAACCUUGGUGAAGAUACUUAGAGGUUCUCAAUUUUGGGAACUUGGAGAAACCUAUUCUUCCAUCCAAAUCCAUAGAUUUUAGAUGCAAGGAAUGAAGGCCCUCUCUUUGGGUGAUUAGCCUUUGCUUAUGCAAAGAGGAAUCUACAAAGGUAUAUAUGCAAAGAGGAAUCUACAAAGGUAUAUAUUUCUCAACUCACUUUGAUUUGAGUUGAGUCUUGGUUCACCAAUCUACUAGGCUUUGAAUUUCAUGGGUAAUGUUUUGUUUUUGAGUGCAUGCAAGCAUGAUUCCGCCUUUAAUUGUUAAUUGCAUGAUAUAGAUGUUAUUCAAAUGAACAUGUUUUCACAAAAUCAUCCUUCAAGUGGUAUCAGAGCCUAGGUCUAGUAGUUGGUGAAUCCUUUUGGGUUUUGUGGUUCAUAGUUUGUGAUUUAAAAGUUGUAAUAUGUUACAAGCUUUAUUCUUGUUUCUUUGAACGUAAAUUUUGUUAGAAAAUUUGCCAUCUCAAAUGUUGUAGAUGUAGUUCAUAUGAGCAUGAAUAUUGGAGCUAAAAUUUGGUGCCAUGCUUUUGGGAAUUUUCGGCCAAAUCCAAAGGGUGGAUUUUUGGGUUCUUGUUUGACUUGUUAAAAGUGUUUUCAAGUAACUUUUGGAACCCCUAUGUACCCUAGUUUGGUUAUAUGUUAUUUCCCUAAAGUUUGAAUGGUUUUGGGAUGUGUUUUUUGGAGUGAAAAUGUUCAUGGAAAUUUUUUGGGUUUUUCAUGAAUGUUCUUCAUUGUUCUUGACAUUUUUGCCAAGAACAAAAAGUUUGGUGUUUUGAUUCAAAGUUUUGAUUUAUUUCAUAAAGUUUAUAUUUUAUGAUUUAUCAUUUAUUUAAAUGUGUUAGAUAUUUAUUUAAAAGGUGUAAGAAAUGGUGAUGGGUGUGUAAGGAUUAAUUCCCUUUCACACACACCACUUGCAUGACAUUUAUGUCAUGCACCACUUGCAUGCUUUAUGUCUAACUUAGCAAUCAACACACACAUCACUCAUUUCUCCUAUCCAAAACCGGCCCUCCCUCAAGUGGGAGUACUUUUGGGGCUUUUAUGCAAUUACAUAAAGUUUUGAUACUUUUGUGUUUUGCAUUUUGGCCCAAAAGUUUACGUUUUUACGUUUAGGUCCAAAAACGCUAAAGGACAAAUUGUUUUGCUCCUUUAAUGAAGUUUUUGCAUUGUUUAAAGUUUGGGUUCUAGUUGUAAUUACAUGAAGUAGUGGACUUUUGUGUUUUUACAAAGUGACCCCAAAAGUUUUGCAUAUAGCCCAAAAGUUGAGGUUAAUUGCUUUAUGGCCCAAAUAAGUUGUGGUUAUUGCAUAUUGGCCCAAAUUAGGUAGAGAACAAAAUUGUUUUGUCUCUUUAAAUGAGAAUUGGAUUUUCAUUUCAUUUAGCUCCAUUUAAAUCAAUCUUAUGGAUACAAAAACCAAAUGAAAAUGUUGCAUUCAAUUUAAUUAGUUAAAGUGUUAAUUAAUUAAAGGGUGAUUAUGAACCUAAGCCUACGAUAAUUGAGCUAUGUGAAAGGCCGUUUCAAAUUUGUUUGAACCAUGGGAAUGUGUAGAUUAGAUUUUGGUUGUAAUUUGAUUUGAUCAAAUGUUGUAAAAGAGCAUAAGCUCUUCUUUACUUUAAAAUAAUUUGAUUUAUGCAAAUGUUGUAAUGAGCAUAAGCUCACCUUUACUUUGAAGUACUUCUUUCUUGCUUUAUUUGAUAUGCAUGAAAAUGAAGUAGUUGGGUCCAACGCCCCUAAGACAACACGCCUUAAUGUGAUUAAACGUGAAACUAAAAUCAAUCACCAUCCCUAGACCGAGAUUCAACACAAGGCUCGUGUUGGAUCUAAUUAAAAGGUUCAUAAUCAUCCUAAGGCCCUAAGGCAACUAUAUAGUCCAUCAAUGAAUGCAAACCUUAUGUUAGUAGUAUCAUAUACUCUUGCUUUAAAACCGUUUUAUAAGCAUAGUGGGAGUAUUAUAUACAACUAAAACAAUCAAAUGGACCAAUAGUUGUAAUAG